CUAGCUGCAAAAGAAAAUGGGAUACAGUGUUUAGCAAACAACCCACUUCCUAGUAAUCUUUACUCAUAGCUGGUUUCUACUGUCUCUACGCUCUGCAUGUCACUCCACUAGCCAUACUUCUCCCAACUAUAUAUAUCUCCAAACUCCUAUCCUUUAUUUCUAUGAACCAUCAAAAGCUAAGAGAACUUUUUUUCUCUCAAGAUUAACCACCAUGAAAAUCCACCUUCUUUCUCUUGUUUUUCUCUUCUUUUCCUUAGCCCAGGGAUUGAACUCCAACCCCAAAUGUAACACCCAAGACCAAGGCUCAACCCUUCAAGUGUUUCAUAUUUAUAGCCCAUGCUCCCCAUUUAGACCCUCAAAGCCACUCUCAUGGGAAGAGAGUGUGCUCCAAAUGCAAGCCAAGGACCAAGCUAGGCUUCAAUAUUUGUCAAGCUUGGUUGCUAGGAAAUCUGUGGUGCCGGUUGCCUCAGGCAGGCAGAUUACUCAGAGCCCAACCUAUAUUGUUAGGGCUAAGAUUGGAACUCCAGCCCAGACCAUGCUCUUAGCCAUGGAUACUAGCAAUGAUGUUGCUUGGCUUCCUUGCAGUGGGUGUGUUGGGUGUUCUUCUGCAGUUUUCAACUCUGCAAAAUCUACUACCUUCAAAACCCUUGGCUGCCAAGCUGCUCAGUGCAAGCAGGUACCCAACGCCAUCUGUGGUGGCAAAGCAUGCACAUUCAACAUGACCUACGGCAGCUCGUCCAUAGCAGCAAACCUCUCGCAGGACAAUAUCACUCUAGCCACUGACUCAGUACCUGGCUACACCUUUGGUUGCAUUACAAAAGCCACAGGCAGAUCAGUCCCUCCCCAGGGGCUUCUGGGCUUGGGCAGAGGACCAUUGUCUCUUUUGUCUCAGUCCCAAAAACUUUACAAAUCCACUUUCUCAUACUGCCUUCCUAGCUUUAGGUCUCUAAGCUUUUCUGGCUCACUGAGGCUUGGACCCAUUGGGCAACCGAAGAGGAUUAAGACUACACCAUUGCUAAAGAAUCCUAGGAGAUCGUCACUUUACUAUGUUAACUUGGUCGCAAUUAGAGUUGGAAGAAGAGUUGUUGACAUUCCUCCUAGCGCUUUGGCUUUCAAUCCGACCACCGGUGCUGGAACCAUCUUUGAUUCCGGAACUGUAUUCACCAGGCUUGUCACUCCAGCCUACACGGCAGUCCGGGAUGCAUUCCGAAAGCGAGUGGGCUAUGCAACGGUGACAUCCCUAGGCGGAUUCGACACAUGUUACUCCGUACCAAUCGUAGCACCCACCAUAAAAUUCAUGUUCUCCGGCAUGAAUGUGACAUUACCACCAGAAAACCUACUAAUCCACAGCACAGCCGGUAGCAUCACAUGCCUAGCCAUGGCUGCAGCACCAGAUAACGUGAAUUCAGUGCUAAAUGUUAUAGCCAAUAUGCAGCAGCAAAACCAUAGGAUACUUUAUGAUGUGCCCAACUCAAGGAUUGGCGUGGCACGAGAGCGAUGCACAUGAAUUUCAAGUGAUGGCCUUUAUAUCUUUUGGUCAUGGUAGUGUUUGUUGAUUAGAUAUGUCUUGUGAUUUGUGAUGGAAGGAGUGUAGAGUGAGAUAAAAUUGAAGUGGUUUCAUAGUUAUAUUGCUUUUGUAUUUUGAAGUCACGGGUAGUUAUCUGUGGCGGUGUUUGUCUUUUUAAAGCAUCCAAAAGAUGGUACCAUGUCACGGGUUCCUUGCAAUUUCUUUUUUUGCAAUAUUUUUUAUUAUUUACAAUAAAUUAUUAGGUAAAUUCGAUUUAUUAGGCAUUCAUAGACUAAAUUAGCUAAAUCAUUUUAUGUUAAUACUAUAAUUAUAAAUAAAUAUGAAUGUCACCUUGAGGAGUAAUAUCUAGAGGUCUUAUUGGCAGUAUGAGAUUAUGGCCAGCUGAUCUUUAAAGGCUACAGUACCAGUUGGGCGGGGAGACUAUGGCUGCCUCUGCUUUUGAAGCUAGUUAGAGCUCUGUGUUUGGAGGCCUUGGCCCUUGUUUUAGAGAGUUUUCUUUGGGCCUUAAGCAUUAUGUGUUUAAUUUUUUUGUGUUCAUUGGACUACUUAAAAACUGAUACAACAAUGUUCUUAAAUUUUAAUUUUUUAUCAAAACAAA
Molecule: unclassified non-coding RNA, 2126 nt
Filed under: Hevea brasiliensis (rubber tree)
Lineage: Eukaryota; Viridiplantae; Streptophyta; Magnoliopsida; Malpighiales; Euphorbiaceae
Source: RNAcentral